UACGUAGGGUGCAAGCGUUAAUCGGAAUUACUGGGCGUAAAGCGUGCGCAGGCGGCUUUGCAAGACAGAUGUGAAAUCCCCGGGCUUAACCUGGGAACUGCAUUUGUGACUGCAUGGCUGGAGUGCGGCAGAGGGGGAUGGAAUUCCGCGUGUAGCAGUGAAAUGCGUAGAUAUGCGGAGGAACACCAAUGGCGAAGGCAGCCCCCUGGGUCAACACUGACGCUCAUGCACGAAAGCGUGGGGAGCAAACAGG
This 253-nucleotide ribosomal RNA is filed under the name uncultured bacterium. Its description in RNAcentral is "partial 16S ribosomal RNA". It matches the Rfam family "Bacterial small subunit ribosomal RNA", at positions 524 to 776 of the family's 1533-position model. The record is from RNAcentral.